GCUGGCGGCGUGCUUAAUACAUGCAAGUCGAACGAGGUCCAUCCGAUCUUCGGAUUGGUGAAGACCUAGUGGCGAACGGGUGCGUAACACGUGAGAAACCUGCCCCGGUCUCUGGAAUAACAGUUGGAAACGACUGCUAAUACCGGAUGCCGUCGGACCAUCGCAUGGUGGACCGACGAAAGGGUUACCGGACCGGGAGGGUCUCGCGGCCUAUCAGCUUGUUGGUGAGGUAACGGCUCACCAAGGCAUCGACGGGUAGCUGGUCUGAGAGGAUGGUCAGCCACACUGGGACUGAGACACGGCCCAGACUCCUACGGGAGGCAGCAGUAGGGAAUAUUGCACAAUGGGCGAAAGCCUGAUGCAGCAACGCCGCGUGCGGGAAGAAGGCCCUAGGGUUGUAAACCGCUUUCAGCAGGGAAGAAAAUGACGGUACCUGCAGAAGAAGGUGCGGCCAACUACGUGCCAGCAGCCGCGGUGACACGUAGGCACCAAGCGUUGUCCGGAUUUAUUGGGCGUAAAGAGCUCGUAGGCGGUUCAGUUAGUCGGGUGUGAAAACUCUGGGCUUAACCCAGAGACGCCACUCGAUACUGCUGUGACUA
Molecule: ribosomal RNA, 599 nt
Filed under: uncultured Actinomycetes bacterium
Lineage: Bacteria; Bacillati; Actinomycetota; Actinomycetes
Description: bacterial SSU rRNA
Rfam family: Bacterial small subunit ribosomal RNA
Source: RNAcentral